This 22-nucleotide microRNA is filed under the name Ornithorhynchus anatinus (platypus). Its description in RNAcentral is "oan-miR-1332-3p". Lineage: Eukaryota; Metazoa; Chordata; Mammalia; Monotremata; Ornithorhynchidae. The record is from miRBase by way of RNAcentral.
AAUUGGUUAGAGGUGGUCUCUG